RNAcentral lists this ribosomal RNA (520 nucleotides) under uncultured bacterium. RNAcentral's name for it is "bacterial SSU rRNA". It matches the Rfam family "Bacterial small subunit ribosomal RNA", at positions 383 to 896 of the family's 1533-position model. The record is from RNAcentral.
UAGACGCAGCAACGCCAUGUGUGGGAUGAAGCAUUUCGGUGUGUAAACCACUGUCAGCAGGGGAAUAAAUGGGUCGCUUCGGCGGCAGUUGAAUGUACCUGCAAAGGGAAGCCCCGGCUAACUUCGUGCCAGCAGCCGCGGUAAUACGAGGGGGGGCAAAUGUUGUUCGGAAUCACUGGGCGUAAAGGGAGCGUAGGCGGACUUUUAAGUUAGGUGUUUAAUCCCGGGGCCCAAUCCCGGACAGGCACCUAAAACUGGGAAGUCUUGAAUAGUGGAGAGGACGGCGGAAUUGGGGGUGUAGCGGUGGAAUGCGUAGAGAUCCCCCAAGAACACCAGUUGCGAAGGCGGCCGUCUGGACACAUAUUGACGCUGAGGCUCGAAAGCAUGGGGAGCAAACAGGAUUAGAUACCCUGGUAGUCCAUGCCAUAAACGAUGAAUACUAGGUAUUGGGCCCGUCAACGGUCCAGUGCCGCAGCUAACGCGUUAAGUAUUCCGCCUGGGGAGUACGCUCGCAAGAGUG